Notothenia coriiceps (black rockcod) is the source of this 888-nucleotide long non-coding RNA. RefSeq lists it as uncharacterized. Lineage: Eukaryota; Metazoa; Chordata; Actinopteri; Perciformes; Nototheniidae. The transcript is spliced from 2 exons. The record is from RefSeq and is a predicted model, not a curated record.
GCCCGGGGUGUCUAAAUAGUGCUUCCGGGCCAGCGGGCCAUUUAAUGUCGAGCCCUUCCGGUUACCGGCCGGCCCACAUCGUCCGACCGGCCCACUUCAGUACCGGCCCAUCGGGAUUCGUCCCGAACGUCCCGAUGGCCAGUCCGCCCCUGCAUGGGUGUAAUAUAACUGUAAUAAUGGUGCAAUAUUGGUUUGAUACGCUUGUUAUAUGGGUGUACUAAUGGUGUUAUAUGCAUGUGAUUUGAUUGUAAUAUGGAUGCACUAACCGUGUUAUAUGUGUGUAAUUUAGUUGUUGGUAUAUUUGUGUAAUAACAGCGUAAUAUGCGUGUAAAAUAGAUCUGAUAAUAUGGGUUUAAUAAUCUAUAAAUGUAUACCGGCGACUGCGUAUGUAAAGCGCUUUGAGUGAGAUACGGGAGAUACAGAGGGUAUUUUUGAACAUAAAAGUCAUACUUUGAAGAAAGAUCUUGACAUUUCGAGGCCAUCUUUAGCCUAAAUACAUUAGAAAAUAGCCAUUAAGGAUGAAUGUUGUGUUAGAGGAAGUGUUGUUACAGUUGCAGACUUUGCAUUGGUAAUUGUUUGGGCUUUUAUUAUACCCAGGACAGUUGGUAGUUUUUGCAUGUAAGCAGGAUCGACACUUCUGAUGCCCUUGUUUCUCUUUUUUCCCGUUGUCUUCUAGAGACUCUGCAUAUUUGAUAACUUUGGGACCUUGGUGUUUGCAGUUUUCAUGUCAAUCUGGGUGACGCUGUUCCUGGAGUUUUGGAAGCGCUACCAGGCGGAGCUGGAGUACAUGUGGGACACGGUGGAGUUUCUGGAGCAGGACGAGCCGCCUCGGCCAGAAUAUGAAGCCAAGUGUACUCAUGAGAGGAAAAACACCGUCACAGGGGUAAA